CCGUGCUAGGUGGGGUGCUAGGGGUGCCCUGAACCCGAAAUCCUCUAUAUGCGGGACUGAAUUCCCUGCCCGAGCGUGACGGCGGUCGGGUUUGCAUCGGGCACGUGGUGUUGACGGUUGGGUCCUGCGCGGCGGGGUCUCGUGAAUCGGGUCAGGUCCGGAAGGAAGCAGCCCUAAGCGAUACGCCCCGGGUGCCGCAGGAGCGCCUGGCUUGAGCCGGCGACCCGGAAAGCGACGGUCGUUGCUUACGCGAAGGCAGGGUGCACGG
RNAcentral lists this signal recognition particle RNA (268 nucleotides) under Gemmatimonadota bacterium. Its description in RNAcentral is "Gemmatimonadetes bacterium (beach sand metagenome) signal recognition particle sRNA large type". It matches the Rfam family "Bacterial large signal recognition particle RNA". From Rfam's summary of the family: The signal recognition particle (SRP) is a universally conserved ribonucleoprotein involved in the co-translational targeting of proteins to membranes. Archaeal SRP consists of a 7S RNA and homologues of the eukaryotic SRP19 and SRP54 proteins. Lineage: Bacteria; Pseudomonadati; Gemmatimonadota. The record is from RNAcentral. RNAcentral also lists the same sequence under 1 other name.